This is a long non-coding RNA of Acipenser ruthenus (sterlet), 320 nucleotides long. RefSeq lists it as uncharacterized. The record is from RefSeq and is a predicted model, not a curated record. Lineage: Eukaryota; Metazoa; Chordata; Actinopteri; Acipenseriformes; Acipenseridae. The transcript is spliced from 3 exons.
AAACAUUGAACAACAGCUACAAUAGUAGUCAGUGUGCAACAAGUAGCAGGUAGUGAAUUUGCAGAGUGAAAGCAGGCAGCACUAACCCUGUUUCCUGUUCCAGGGAGUUUCCUUUCUGAUGAGCUGCCCUCUGACUACGAUGAUGUGGAGGACAGUGAGGGGAACCCCAUCCCAGGUGAAUCGAUGCCCUCUCUGGAAGGAGAGACCCCAGGGCACUAUGACGAUGCCGUCCCUAUGAACAGUAACCCAGAAGAUUUAUCAGGGAGUUUUGAUUCUGAUGAACUUCCCUCUGGCUACUAUGAUGUGGAGAACAGUGAGGG